UAUAUCCAUGAGGCUUUCAAACUGGUUUCUAGCCUGCGUGUCUGCUCAAUAGCUGGGGGUGGGGGGGGGGGAGAGUUGUUUAGAUCCAGAGAAAAUCCAUGUAGCUCUGGUUAUGCACAAGCCAUUUGUUCUUAGAAAAAAGGGAAUUUUACAAGUUUACAACAUUCCAGUGUUGGGAGCCAUCUGGUGGCCAUUAUGGGCCAUGCUUGCUUAUUUUAAUGCACAAGGCUCAAAAGGCUGCUGGUUGCAGUUAUUCUAUGAUGUAUUUUUCUCGAGAUCUCUAUUUGCAAAGUCUUCAUUAUGUUCAAAUUUCUCAUACUUUUUAUUAUUUUGUGGUUUACAGAGAUUUUUUCCAAAGCGUGCGGUUAUAUUUAAUUUUUGCACACACAUUAACAACCAGAAAGGAAAAGAGGCCUAUAAUUACAAGAAUAGAUGUUAUAUUAAGUAUUACUAAUCUCAUUGACAUAUAAAACAAGAGAGUUAAUCAGUUACUUUAGUGAUAUUGUAUGUGCGAUUUCAAAGAAGAGGUUCUGCAAAUCUAAGCAGAUAACCAGUCGUGCAGACAAACUUAGGCUUCUCUCACAAUUUCUACUUCCUGCAUUGUGUGAAAAUAUAUAGGAAACAUUCUCUUUUACCAGGAAGCAAUGGCCAGUCUAUGUUUAUUAUUCUCAGUUUUUCUUUACAAUUUUUUAAAGCUUUCCAACUUAUGAAAUAAAUGAAUUGUGUAUGACAGAGGUGAGCUUGGGAGGGUUUUUUUUUUUUUAAAGAAAAACUGUUCCAUAGCUCAGCCAUUUAGGAUAAUAAUCAUUCCACAGUUUAAGAUUCCCCCCUCACUGUUUUAUAUUGCCAGGUAGUUGUCUAUUUUUUCUUUUCUUUUUAAAAUAAAUUAGUUUGAGUGAGUGAGAGAGAGAGAGAGAGA
Molecule: long non-coding RNA, 919 nt
Organism: Dermochelys coriacea (leatherback sea turtle)
Lineage: Eukaryota; Metazoa; Chordata; Testudines; Dermochelyidae
Exons: 3
Source: RefSeq, a predicted model, not a curated record